GCUUAAUUGCAACACUUUUGUUAUUGUUAUUUGCUCUUACGUUUGUCAGAUUUCCCUUGUGUGUUUUCUUUUUUCAGACUUCUCUAGUGCUCCAGAAGCCAACUUAACAGAGACUGUUCUACUGAAAGCUUUCUGAAAUCAUUCUUGAAAUACGAUGCAUAAUCUCUUGAGAUUAAAGCAAUGGCAAAAUUCAAAUGGUAGUGGUUCUUGCACUUCUGUCAUUUGCUGACGGACCAGAAGAAUGUGAACCUGCCCGUCUGAUUUCGUUAAUGUAUUUCCAACUCUGACUAUUCCCUGUAAAUUCCGCCUUGGCUCUUCAGCAGCAAGACAGUGAAGAAAAAAUCUUUUUGAAGAAAGGCACUG
Molecule: long non-coding RNA, 363 nt
Filed under: Calidris pygmaea (Spoon-billed sandpiper)
Lineage: Eukaryota; Metazoa; Chordata; Aves; Charadriiformes; Scolopacidae
Description: lncRNA (ENSCPGG00000003728.1)
Source: RNAcentral